Molecule: ribosomal RNA, 92 nt
Filed under: Limosilactobacillus fermentum
Lineage: Bacteria; Bacillati; Bacillota; Bacilli; Lactobacillales; Lactobacillaceae
Source: RNAcentral
UGUGGUGAUGAUGGCCUGAAGGAUACACCUGUUCCCAUGCCGAACACAGAAGUUAAGCUUCAGCACGCCAAAAGUAGUUGGGGGAUCGCCCC